RNAcentral lists this long non-coding RNA (2143 nucleotides) under Olea europaea subsp. europaea. Lineage: Eukaryota; Viridiplantae; Streptophyta; Magnoliopsida; Lamiales; Oleaceae. The record is from RNAcentral.
UAUAUAUAUGACGUGUAAUCUACACAGGUCCGUUGAAGAUCUUAUGAUUCAACUCAUUUUACUUAUAUUAGCAGUCUCGUUUAUUACUAAAUGAGUUUUGUACCCAAAGGGAUGUUCAGGAUUCGAAAUAACACCUCUUUUAACUUUUGAGGUUUAUCUCUACUUCCCUUGCCCAGCAAUGGGUGGGGAAAACUUAUACAUAUUUUUAUCCAUCUCAUCAUUACCUCAACAGAUAAUUGGUGCAGCGGCAGUACUUGGAUUUGGAGAGAGCAAAUUUUCUCCAUCUGAUACAAAAUAUAUAAAAACGUGAUUAGCUGAUUUAUUUGGAGUGAUGCUUUCCAAAUCUGGUGACUAAAGUAGAUAAUACCUAUCAGCUAGAUGAUGGAUUCAAAAUGGAAACUUCGUGGAAAUUGAUUGCCAUGCUAUAAAUUCUCAUUAUUAGCCAUGUGAAGAAAGUUUACAGGUCUAGGAACUCCAUCAGCUUGAGUGUAGUCAUCUGCUUUGAAAAUGAAACAAUAAUUUAUGAAAUGUACCCUCCCAUCACUUUUGUCUAUAUCCUCAUUCUUGUAAACUAAUCUGAUUGGAACUUAUUAUUUCAGGUCGGAUCUGUGACAGCUAUAUGCUUCAUUUGUUUCCUAAUAAGGUGCUUUGUGGUAAGGUCAAAAUUGCCUUUCUUUAUUACAUUUAUGCAAGUUAGUGGCUGUUUAAAAUUUGACAUUAAUGAGUUGAAUAGAUUUGAUCAUUUUGCUCAUCUCUGGUUUUAUCAAUGGUGUUAAUAGAAUCUCCGUGCUUCUGCAAGUAUAGAAAGCUCCUUUGUCUUAGUCAUUAUGCAUCAUUCACAUAAUGAAUGCAUUUGUUUUUAUUGUUAUUGCUUCCAGAAGAAAGGGGAAGGGAGCUGGGAUGAAACCAAGGAAAAUAUCUCCCUUCCCUCAUCCAUAUAAAGUGUGUGAAUCAUCUUGUUCUCUCCUUUAGAAUGACAUCCUUUUAGUCCCGUAGUUUUCAUAGUUUCCAUGUUUUGAGCAUAAUUCUGAGACAAUACCCACCUUUAGAAUGACAUCCUUUUAGUCCUUCGUUUUCAUAGUUUUCUUGUUUCGAGCAUAAUUCUGUGACCCUGUGUGGUAAUGCAGUUUUUAAGUAACGGUUGUUUGCCUAAUACAAAAUCUAAAAUCCAAGGUUGUCUGGUUAUUCCGUACCUUCAUGCAGGAACUCAGAUUUAAGAAAUAAAGGAAAUUAUUAUUAACUACCUAUAAUGGACAAGACUUGUCCAAUAGCCUUAAUGGCAAGCCCAAACAUAUUUUUUGGAAUUACCAAUGUCUCCAUUAUUGGGAUUUUGAUAAUGAGAAAUGAAAUGCACAUUUGGGACUCCCAUUCCCACAUACCAAACUCAAUAUACGUGCAAAAUCAUGUAUAUGAUUGAUUAGAUUUUGUGCGGCUGCAAUGAAAAAUAUGUAUAUAAUUACAAGGGCAUUGUGAGGGAGGAAAUGUCACUCAUUGCUUUCCUCUAGAUGCUGUACAUUUUACAUCAACAGAACAUUUUAUCUGUAACUUGUGUUCUCUACAGGUUGCGCUAUCUGCUUUUGAUUCAAACGCAUCACUAGAUGUAUUGGACCAUCCAGUUCUGAAUUUAAUCUAUUACACGGUACACAACUUUGUACCUUGUUUUCUUUUUUCGCCAAUUGUUUUGACAUAUUUAUUACGAAACAUGUCUUAUAUGAAACAGUUGGUCGAGAUUCUCCCUUCAGCUCUUGUGUUGUACAUCUUGCGUAAGCUGCCUCAAAAAAAAGUAUCAGCCCAGUACCACCAGAUCCAUUAGUAGGGCAAGCAUUGUUGGUUGAGUUACUAUUUUCUUGAUUCCCACGGUUCUAGUGUUGGAAGUUUAGUAGACUCGAGCCGAAAAAGGGAAAGAAAGAAGCAAAAGCCUGGAAAACUAUCCUUGUGUAUUAUAUUUUUGUGGGAGUGGUGUCUACAACUAGGUUUUGAUUUAUUGAACUCAAGAUACUGCAUGUUAAUGACAAUUAGAAAAUGUAAAAAUUAGGAGGAGAUGAAAUGAAGCGUGGUAUGUGAUUGUAAAUCUCCUUAAAUUAGAAUUCGUCUCUGCACUGAUGUUAAUAGGAUCAAAUGAAUGCACGUCUUUCAUGAUGCA